GCGGGUGUGGCGGAAUUGGCAGACGCACCAGACUUAGGAUCUGGCGCCGUAAGGUGUGGGGGUUCGACUCCCUUCACCCGCACCA
Molecule: transfer RNA, 85 nt
Filed under: Neobacillus thermocopriae
Lineage: Bacteria; Bacillati; Bacillota; Bacilli; Caryophanales; Bacillaceae
Description: tRNA-Leu
Rfam family: tRNA
About the family: Transfer RNA (tRNA) molecules are approximately 80 nucleotides in length. Their secondary structure includes four short double-helical elements and three loops (D, anti-codon, and T loops).
Source: RNAcentral